GCACCACAAGGGGUGAAGCCUGCGGUUCAAUUGGAGUCAACGCCAGAAAUCUUACCCGGAGAGACAGCAGAAUGAAGGUCAAGCUGAAGACUUUACCAGACAAGCUGAGAGGUGGUGCAUGGCCGUCGCCAGCUCGUGCCGUGAGAUGUCCUGUUAAGUCAGGUAACGAGCGAGAUCCCUGCCUCUAGUUGCCACCAUUACUCUCAGGAGUAGUGGGGCGAAUUAGCGGGACCGCCGUAGUUAAUACGGAGGAAGGAAGGGGCCACGGCAGGUCAGUAUGCCCCGAAACUCUGGGGCCACACGCGGGCUGCAAUGGUAACGACAAUGUGUUCCGAAUCCGAAAGGAGGAGGUAAUCCAGAAACGUUACCACAGUUAUGACUGAGGGCUGCAACUCGCCCUCACGAAUAUGGAAUCCCUAGUAACUGCGUGUCAUUAUCGCGCGGUGAAUACGUCCCUGCUCCUUGCACACACCGCCCGUCGUUUCAUUGAAGUUUGCUUUUAGCGAGGUGACAUCUGAUUGGUGUUAUCGAACUUGAGGUAAGUGACAAGGGAA
Molecule: ribosomal RNA, 554 nt
Filed under: uncultured archaeon
Lineage: Archaea
Description: bacterial SSU rRNA
Rfam family: Archaeal small subunit ribosomal RNA
Source: RNAcentral